RNAcentral lists this ribosomal RNA (171 nucleotides) under Oryza sativa Indica Group (long-grained rice). Its description in RNAcentral is "28S ribosomal RNA". It matches the Rfam family "Eukaryotic large subunit ribosomal RNA", at positions 1620 to 1790 of the family's 3401-position model. The record is from RNAcentral. Lineage: Eukaryota; Viridiplantae; Streptophyta; Magnoliopsida; Poales; Poaceae.
CGAGCCAGGACGUGGCAGUUGACGGCGAUGUUAGGAAGUCCGAAGACGUCGGAAGAGGCCUCGGGAAGAGGUAUCUUUUCUGCUUAACGGCCUGCCAACCCUAGAAACGGUUCAGCCGAAGGUAGGGUCCAGCGGCCGGAAGAGCACCGCACGUCGCGCGGUAUCCGGUGC